CUGGUUUUCAAUGCUAACAACAACAACAUAAACUAAUUUAAGAUUUAAAAAAAAAAAACAACACAGUUACAAAUACAAGCACCAAAAAUCAUAUUUUUCUCUUCUUCCUCCUUGCAUCCUUCAAUGUCCUUACUUUUUUCAGAAGACCCAACAACACAAUUCAUGAAUGGUGGAUCAAAUUAGGUGUAAAACCGACAUGGUUUUCGAAAUCUACUGCCAAAUUUCUUACACCCAAAAAACCUCCUACCUGGGUUGUCAUUGGACCAAGACGUGUUUAAUUCGGCUGAGUUUCCACAAUAGCACACCGGAAUCACUUCAAGCAUCUCCAUUUUUCCUUUUCUCCCUUUUCUUCUUCUUUUUCUUUUUCUCUAACCUUAGAAUGGUGUGGUAGGGUUGUUAAAUUGAGAGUAACCGGCCAACUGGAGGAUUUUUUGACACCAAAGACACCAUCAUCUGCCA
This 459-nucleotide long non-coding RNA is filed under the name Gossypium barbadense (sea-island cotton). RNAcentral describes it as "long non-coding RNA (GBAR_LNC019782)". Lineage: Eukaryota; Viridiplantae; Streptophyta; Magnoliopsida; Malvales; Malvaceae. The record is from RNAcentral.